RNAcentral lists this long non-coding RNA (444 nucleotides) under Brachypodium distachyon (stiff brome). RNAcentral describes it as "long non-coding RNA (BDIS_LNC000689)". Lineage: Eukaryota; Viridiplantae; Streptophyta; Magnoliopsida; Poales; Poaceae. The record is from RNAcentral.
CAUGAGCAUCAUGCCACAAUUGCAUAUUUGAAUUCAAAUUUAAAUCUAAAAAGGCUUUAAAAAGAUUUUAUUUCAAUUUAAACCCUAGGGUUCCACCCAUUUGAGCUUUGGAUCUCCAAACCAAUAGGGUUUAACUACAAAAGGGGAUUAUUGCAUAAAUAAGCUAUCCCAUAAUUUUUGGAUAUUUAUUUGCAGUUGAAAUACUAUUUUAUUUAAAUAGUUAUAAAACCCUAAAGGCAGUUAUAGGAAAAAUGUAUUUUUACAUAUUUUAUUUUGAGGAGAAAUUACUCCCAAAAGUUGAAUCAUGAUAAAACAUGAUUUAACAAAUUUUUUGGAAUUUAUUUGGAUCAAUUUGGAGUUCAAAAUCAAAAGAUAGCAAAGAAAUCAGAAAAAGAAAAAAAGAGAAAGGGUUAGAGAAAAAAAAAGGGAAAACCGGACCAGCCG